RNAcentral lists this ribosomal RNA (461 nucleotides) under uncultured bacterium. RNAcentral describes it as "partial 16S ribosomal RNA". It matches the Rfam family "Bacterial small subunit ribosomal RNA", at positions 28 to 505 of the family's 1533-position model. The record is from RNAcentral.
GACGAACGCUGGCGGCGUGCUUAACACAUGCAAGUCGAGCGGAAAGGCCACUUCGGUGGUACUCGAGCGGCGAACGGGUGAGUAACACGUGAGUAAUCUGCCCCUCACUUUGGGAUAGCCACCGGAAACGGUGAUUAAUACCGGAUAUGACCAUAUGUCGCAUGGCGUGUGGUGGAAAGUUUUUCGGUGAGGGAUGUGCUCGCGGCCUAUCAGCUUGAUGGUGAGGUAAUGGCUCACCAUGGCUUCGACGGGUAGCCGGCCUGAGAGGGUGACCGGUCACACUGGGACUGAGACACGGCCCAGACUCCUACGGGAGGCAGCAGUGGGGAAUAUUGGACAAUGGGCGGAAGCCUGAUCCAGCAACGCCGCGUGAGGGAUGACGGCCUUCGGGUUGUAAACCUCUUUCAGUACCGACGAAGCGCAAGUGACGGUAGGUACAGAAGAAGCACCGGCCAACUACG